ACAGUACAUACGCCGAAUCCUGUAUAGGUACGGAGGACCCAAGUUUUUGGGGUGAAGCGUUUUUUCGCAGGGUUGCAUUGCCUGACCCUAACCCGACAGCUAACUCCGGAGGCGAAGAAAGGCGGAACA
RNAcentral lists this small RNA (129 nucleotides) under Pelosinus sp. UFO1. RNAcentral describes it as "c-di-AMP riboswitch aptamer (ydaO/yuaA leader)". It matches the Rfam family "c-di-AMP riboswitch aptamer (ydaO/yuaA leader)". Rfam says of the family: This family represents a conserved RNA structure found upstream of the ydaO and yuaA genes in Bacillus subtilis and related genes in other bacteria. The ydaO/yuaA element is thought to act as a genetic "off" switch for the ydaO and yuaA genes in its native state. It is believed that the element may be triggered during osmotic shock leading to activation of ydaO, a predicted amino acid transporter gene, and members of the yuaA-yubG operon which code for KtrA and KtrB K+ transporters. RNAcentral also lists the same sequence under 1 other name. The record is from Rfam by way of RNAcentral. Lineage: Bacteria; Bacillati; Bacillota; Negativicutes; Selenomonadales; Sporomusaceae.